UACGGGGGGGGCAAGCGUUGUUCGGAAUUACUGGGCGUAAAGGGCUCGUAGGUGGCCAACUAAGUCAGACGUGAAAUCCCUCGGCUUAACCGGGGAACUGCAUCUGAUACUGGAUGGCUUGAGUUCGGGAGAGGGAUGCGGAAUUCCAGGUGUAGCGGUGAAAUGCGUAGAUAUCUGGAGGAACACCGGUGGCGAAGGCGGCAUCCUGGACCGACACUGACGCUGAGGCGCGAAAGCUAGGGGAGCAAACGGG
RNAcentral lists this ribosomal RNA (253 nucleotides) under uncultured bacterium. RNAcentral describes it as "partial 16S ribosomal RNA". It matches the Rfam family "Bacterial small subunit ribosomal RNA", at positions 524 to 776 of the family's 1533-position model. The record is from RNAcentral.